Molecule: long non-coding RNA, 2168 nt
Organism: Podarcis raffonei (Aeolian wall lizard)
Lineage: Eukaryota; Metazoa; Chordata; Lepidosauria; Squamata; Lacertidae
Exons: 3
Source: RefSeq, a predicted model, not a curated record
AUUAUUAUUAUUAUCAUUAGGAUCCAACAGGCUCUUCUUCUGUUCUUAAAGUAAUUUAUUAAAUUUCUCUAUCAUUGUUUAAAUCUUUGAACCCUCCAAUAACUCUUAAUGCUUAAAAUGUUAUUGGGAUGCCUGAGAAGAUCUAGCUAAUUACCAAGCAGCUGUGUGAGAGACCUAGUAAGCUGACAAAUUCAGACCUACAGUCCAUCUCCCCCGCUACUGCCUUCACUGACUAGCAAUGACUUCUCCAAGGUACCAUGCAGGACUCCUUCCCGCAGAUCUACCUGCAGAUGCUGAGGAGCUUUCACCUGCAAAUCAGGUGCUCUACCACUGAGCUAUGGACUUUCCCUAAAAGAGGGUGUGUCCUAGGGGCACCCCAGGGCAACUCACAAUCCAGCCAGCCAAACAGAGCCCGGGCCCGCAUAUAGAAGGCCCUGUGGCAUUUCCAGCUUGUAUAAAAACUAUCAGAUGACAAGAGAUGAAAAGGACUUCAGUUCAAGACCCUGGAGAACUGAGAUGCCGUAAGAAUAGACCAGUAGUGGGGGAGCUGUGAGCCUCCAGCUGCUGAGGGACUACAACUCCCAUCAUGACCACUGGCCAUGCUGUCUGGGGCUGGUGGGAGUUGUAGUCCGGUGACAACUGGAGCGCCACAGAUGUUCUCCCAUCCAUGGGCUAUGUGGAGAAAGAGUCUGACUUGGUAUAUAUGGCUGCUUCCUAUGUUCUGGUUUUUUUUUUUUACACGCAGGAAGAACAGGAAGUUUAUUGAGGUCUUGGUGGGUCACUGUACCGGAGGCCGUUGUGUAAAAGAGUCAUUUGGAUGAGAAACAGGGAUACAGGGAACUCCCGAUUUAUGCAGGGGUUGUGUUCAGAAGAACACAUAUUAGCCCGCCCCGAACCCCAAUGUCCCCACCCCACCCUGCCUAUUUGCCCUGCCAAAAAUGGCACGCUUGGCAGCAGUCACGUGCAAGUGGGAGGUUUCCCUUUACAGUGGUACCUCGGGUUAAGUACUUAAUUCGUUCCGGAGGUCCGUUCUUAACCUGAAACUGUUCUUAUCAUGAAGCACCACUUUAGCUAAUGGGGCCUCCUGCUGCUGCUGCGCCGCCGGAGCACGAUUUCUGUUCUCAUCCUGAAGCAAAGUUCUUAAACCGAGGUACUAUUUCUGAGUUACCGGAGUCUGUAACCUGAAGCGUAUGUAACCCGAGGUACCACUGUAUUGCAAUAAAUUUGUAGGGCAUGGUCCGGUCUAGCUGAGCGCUUGUAAAUCCCAUUGAUUUCAGUGCAAGAGAUUUUGGCACCAUCUGUGCUAUCGUAUCAUAUUAUCGUGGAGACUCCCCCCUCCCACUUUCUCAAAUAAAUACGCAGUUCUCAGAGUGGUUUAUAACUGUCAACCCCUCUUUCCAGGGAACUCUGACAAUUGUCGCUCUCUGAGGGGAAUAGGGGAUUCCUCACAACUUUCAGCAACUAUGACGAAAUUCCAGUUCCCAGGAUUUUGGGGUGGGUGGGGUGUGGAAUGCCAUGACAGUUGAAAGCAUAGCUGUCAACUUACAGAUUUGAAAAUAAGGGACCAGCAGCCUCGAAAAUAAGGGAUCAGCAGACAAAAUAAGCGAUCAACAAUUACUUAGAUAAAAUACAUAUUUUGUUGCGUGCAAAUGGCUUUAGAUACCUAUUAGGUCCAUAAAUUACCAUCUAGCAUAUAUUCAACACAAAAAAACAGCAACAAUUUGUUGUUGACAAAGGACAGCUGGACAUAGAAAGGGCCCCAUUACCUUCAGUAGCUUAUUUAAGGGACAUCAUCCAUAAGGGACAGCAGUGGGACAUGGCGCUGGGAUAAGGGACUGUCCCACCAAAUAAGGGACGCUUGACAGCUAUGGUUUAAAGUGGUGUGUGAUAUGGCUUUAAAUGCCAUCAAAAUAAGGUGGGCUUCAAAGUGACCAACAUUGGCUGAGUUUUGCCUGAAGGGGGUUAAAAUGUGGCGGUGGCCCCCUUUUAUGCAAAUCUGCUCCGUGGUUAUUAAUAUGGAAGGGGUGGCAAUAGAAAAGGACCGAAUGGUCCUGUGGAGUCUACCCCUCCCCAACAUACUCACCAGUGUUGGGUUUAGUAAUUAUUAACAGAAGAGGAAACGAUUUGUGGUUAUGUAGCACAAUAUGGAUGAAUGACUGGCAUGGAGG